UCCCAGCAGAGACUUUAUAUGCUCCCUGUUUGUGUCUGGCCACCUCCUCCUCAGCUCAGCAUCCCCGUGCUGGUGACUACAUGUGAAACCUGAAGUCACUGAUCUCGGAGAGGCCAUGAGCCCAACAGGGGAAACCAGCCCCGGAACUACAGAUGCCCCUGCAGAGAAGAGGGGAGGCUGCCCCUGGCUGAGCACCUGGGUUGUUCCUGUGAUCUCCAUCCUGAUCCUCAGUGUCUGUUUCAUCUCCAGCAUCCUCGUUACCUGGCGUUGGGACACUAGGACACAGCAUGAAGAGCAAGAGAAACUGUCUUGGCUGCUCCGGUAUCUGAAGGAAAAAACUUGUGUCUCAGAGGGUCAGGCAGGGACAGAUCAGCCCUUCUGACUUUUGGACAGUCCAUGCAUUUGGGAAGUUAUUCUGCCUUAAUGUUGCUGUGAUCACUGUUAAGGUUUUGUGUUGGAUGCAAGUUUGAUGAAGCUGGGUCCUGAGUCUCCUACACGGCGCCCACAAACACUACACGGUAACAGGAGUGGUCAGAGAGUGACUGGAGAAGAGAGUACAGGACAAAAGGGGUAAGGAAAAUGGAGCAGCUGAGAGUUCCUCUGGAGCUGAAGUUCUCUGGCAAUACAGCAGAUAAGUGGAAGGGAUUUCAACACAGAUUCAGCCUGUACAUGCAAGGAGUGGCUUUAUUGAAAAAGAAGAUAAACAGAAGGGAGCUAUUUUUUUAAAAAAAUUAUCGUGGGGUCAAAACACUAGAUAUUUCUAAUUAUGUACAGUUAAGUCAGGCAGCACAAGCAUGCUAUAAGAUGCAUGAAGUUUGAAGAGUACUGCACACCCGAGACAAAUGAAAUUUUUGAACGAUAUAAAUUUCAUGAGAGCUCAGAGAGAAGGAUUGUUGUUUGAAGAAUUCAUGGUGGAUCUCAAGCUGUUGAGCCAAACAUUUAAUUAUGAUCAGCUCACAGAUUCACUAAUCCGAGAUCAACUAACGACGGGAAUUCGAGAACCAAAGAUUAGAAAAAGACAAUGGAAGACCCAGAUUUGAACCUGGAUUAGGCAUUUAGAAGAUGCUAGACAGCAGAGGUUACCCAGAACAGAUUGACACUUUUGGAGGGAAAACAAGAUACUGCUUUGAUGGACAGAAUCACAAACCCUCAGGGCAAAGGGAAAGCAGAAAUGUUCAACAAAGCCUGUAAAAAAAAAAAAGUGAGUUUGCAAAAAAGGAAUUUGUUGAGGACAACAUAAAGAAUUACACAAGGCGUGGAAGGAAAUUUCAGCAAUGAAUUGCAUUUGGACAACAUUGCAACAAGUGCACGAAAUUCAAUAAUUUUGAAAGAGUGUGCAAUUUGCAAUAGCAGAUGCACCAAAAGAACCAAAGUACACACGCUAUGUAACAUGAGGAGAACAGAGCUAGCAGCACAGAAGAAAAGCUUUGAAUGAAGCAGCUGCACCAAAUAAUCGGGCUGUUACCUUGGCAAUGAACGGAACUUUUUUGACUUUUAAACAAGACACUGGUGCUCAAGCAAAUGUGGUAAUGGAAUAUAUUUUAAGGGUCUAAAAAAAGACUGGGUACAUUGCUAAUAGACAGGUAAAGUGAAGGCCUUACAGUGGAGAGCUCAUUUCUACUUGUGGGCACAUGUGAAUUAGAGGGAACGUUAAAAAUAAGAUUGAAAAAUAAUAAAUUUUGUAAUUGUGCCAAAAAUGUACCUAUACUGGCCUUAAAAACAAGCCCAACACUAGGGUUUGUUCAGAGAAAAUAUACUCAUUAGAGGGGCAAGGGGACUCAGGUAUUGGGGAGCAGUUUUAGGAUGUCUUUAAGGGCAUUGGAAAACUGCCAGCAGAAUAUCAAACUGAACUGACAGAGCCUAGUUGUUCCAUCAUACAUUCCCCUAGGAAUGUUCUUCUAGCUCUGAAAAAAAAACUCAAAAGAGGAGCUAAAUAGAUUAAUGGCACCAGAGGUAAUCAAGUCAGUAAAGGAGACACAGAAUGGGUUCGUUCAUUAGUAAUUGUAGAAAAAAAAACGAACCCGAAAAAAAUUAACAAGUAUAUUAAAAGAACACUUUUUCCCAUGCCCACUAGGGAACACAUAUUUGGAGAAAUGGUUGGCACUAAAUGUUUCUCCACAUUGGAUGCAUCCGUAGGAUUUUGACAACUCCCCUUCGAUGAAGGGACUGGCUGACACUCCUCCCAGAGUACAGAGACUGCUUUUCUCAACUGCAGUUAUCUGAAUUGCAAAUAGAAUAUAAAGCAGGAUGGGAUUUAGUGGAUACUCUGUCUAUAGCAGUGGUGCCCAAACUGGGGUUCGCAAACCCCUGGGGGUUCGCAGAACGUUACAGGGGGUUCGCCAGAAAAAUGUCACUCAUGGCGGGCCAUGGGACCCCGGGCACUGGAGGCAGCAGGUGGGACCCGGUGGCAGGGCAGACAGCCCGAGCCCCAGGGAGAGCGAAGCUGGGCAGUUGAGGCUGGCAGCCCGAGCCCUGCCCCCGUCAGUGGGGGAGCCAGCUGCCCAAACCCCAGCACUCCGCACAGGGCUGGCAGCCCAAGCCCUGGCGGUCAGCGGGACCUGCAGCCCGAGCUCAGUGGAGCUCAGUUGACCAGGGCAGUCAACAGGGUCCAGCAGCAGGAGCCCCGCAGAGUGUGGAGGAAAUUUAAACUUAAAUCCCUGGAAAUAUUCAUUUUUAGGAGGGGAUUCACGAGAUUUCACAAUUUAGUGAAAGGAGUUCGCGGGCUGUUAAAGUUUGGGAACCACUGGUCUAGAGCUUUUGACAAUACUGUAGCAGGAAAUGACUCUGAAUCUGAUAUAUGCAUGUGAACCUCAUAAACCAGGGAUGGCCAACCUGCCCCGAGAAGGAGCCAGAAUUUACCUGUGUACAUUGUCAAAGAGCCACAGUAAUACGUCAGCACCCUCCAUCAGCUCCCCACUGCCUGCCAGCAGCCCUGCUGAUCAGCACCUCCCCCUCUUUCCCCAUGCCUCCUGCGGCAUGCAGGAGGCUCUGGGGGGAGGGG
Long non-coding RNA from Caretta caretta (loggerhead turtle), 3001 nucleotides. RefSeq lists it as uncharacterized. NCBI's taxonomy places the organism in Eukaryota, Metazoa, Chordata, Testudines, Cheloniidae. The record is from RefSeq and is a predicted model, not a curated record.